This is a long non-coding RNA of Brassica napus (rape), 762 nucleotides long. RefSeq lists it as uncharacterized. The transcript is spliced from 5 exons. The record is from RefSeq and is a predicted model, not a curated record. NCBI's taxonomy places the organism in Eukaryota, Viridiplantae, Streptophyta, Magnoliopsida, Brassicales, Brassicaceae.
CAUUUACAAAUUAAUAGGAAAAAUUGGUUUACUUUUUUAUGCUAUUGGAUAAUUAUGUAUUGGACUGGAAUUAAAUUUGCAGGCCUUGUUAAACAGAAAGCCAAUUUACAGUACUUUUUAAAGUUAAAAGUUAACUCAGAGAAUUUAUUAACUGACCACAAAUAAAAAAUAUCUCACCAAGACAGCGAUGGUAUCGAAGUCGAAAGGGGAUUAAGGUUUGGUAUCUCUCGGUUUUCACUCCGCACAAGAUAAACUCAGUCUGUUCCAGGGAUUUCUUUGCUGGAAGAGAAAAGCUGAAAGAGCUUGAUUGCAAGCGGUCUUAACUACGCAAUAGUUAGGCCUGGGGGAUGAAGAGACCUACUGAUGCAUACAAAGAAACUCAUAAUCAAACUCUUGCUCUAGAAGAUACAUUGUUUGGUGGUCAGAUCUCAAAUCUCCAGUUGCAGCCAAAGAGUUAACACCAGUCACUAUUGAGCCUGUCACUCAAGAACCAACAGCUCCCACGGAGGAUGAAGCACAUGUCAGAAGUGAAAGAUGUGAAACCUAGGCCAUUGUCUCCUUUUCUGCCUAUGAAGACUUGAAAUCUCCAAAUUCUCCUAUUUCCACAUUCGACCACAGCACUUGGUGCCACCAAAGCUAAGGAGGUGGAAGCAACUCAGGUUCCGGAGGUGGAAGUAACUCAGGUUCCUGUUGAGGCCAAUGUAGUUACAGUGUCAGAAAAUCUUGUUGAUGCCAAUGUCCCAGAAGCAGUAGAAUUUGGAC